UACGGAGGAUGCGAGCGUUAUCCGGAUUUAUUGGGUUUAAAGGGUGCGUAGGCGGCGAGUUAAGUCAGCGGUAAAAUUUCGGGGCUCAACCCCGUCGUGCCGUUGAAACUGGCAGUCUCGAGUUGGAGAGAAGUAUGCGGAAUGCGCGGUGUAGCGGUGAAAUGCAUAGAUAUCGCGCAGAACCCCGAUUGCGAAGGCAGCCUGCCGGCCCCACACUGACGCUGAGGCACGAAAGCGUGGGUAUCGAACAGG
RNAcentral lists this ribosomal RNA (252 nucleotides) under uncultured Bacteroidales bacterium. RNAcentral describes it as "partial 16S ribosomal RNA". It matches the Rfam family "Bacterial small subunit ribosomal RNA", at positions 524 to 776 of the family's 1533-position model. Lineage: Bacteria; Pseudomonadati; Bacteroidota; Bacteroidia; Bacteroidales. The record is from RNAcentral.